Molecule: unclassified non-coding RNA, 253 nt
Filed under: uncultured Caryophanales bacterium
Lineage: Bacteria; Bacillati; Bacillota; Bacilli; Caryophanales
Description: uncultured Bacillales bacterium contains 16S-23S intergenic spacer region
Rfam family: Bacterial small subunit ribosomal RNA
Source: RNAcentral
GACGUAGGUGGCAAGCGUUGUCCGGAACUAUUGGGCGUAAAGCGAGCGCAGGCGGCCUCUUAAGUCUGAUGGGAAAGCCCCCGGCUCAACCGCGGAGGGCCAUUGGAAACGGGGAGGCUUGAGUAUAGGAGAGAGGAGUGGAAUUCCACGUGUAGCGGUGAAAUGCGUAGAGAUGUGGAGGAACACCAGUGGCGAAGGCGACUCUUUGGCCUAUAACUGACGCUGAGGCGCGAAAGCGUGGGGAGCAACCAGG